CACCAGACUCCUACGGGAGGCAGCAGUGGGGGAUAUUGCACAAUGGGGGAAACCCUGAUGCAGCGACGCCGCGUGGGCGAAGAAGUAUUUCGGUAUGUAAAGCCCUCUCAGCAGGGAAGAAGAAAUGACGGUACCUGAGUAAGAAGCACCGGCUAAAUACGUGCCAGCAGCCGCGGUAAUACGUAUGGUGCAAGCGUUAUCCGGAUUUACUGGGUGUAAAGGGAGCGCAGGCGGCACGGCAAGCCUGAUGUGAAAGCCCGCGGCCCAACCGCGGGACUGCAUUGGGAACUACCGGGCUGGAGUGCCGGAGAGGUAGGCGGAAUUCCUAGUGUAGCGGUGAAAUGCGUAGAUAUUAGGAGGAACACCAGUGGCGAAGGCGGCCUGCUGGACGAUGACUGACGCUGAGGCUCGAAAGCGUGGGGAGCAAACAGGAUUAGAUACCCGCGUAA
Molecule: ribosomal RNA, 449 nt
Filed under: uncultured bacterium
Lineage: Bacteria
Description: partial 16S ribosomal RNA
Rfam family: Bacterial small subunit ribosomal RNA
Source: RNAcentral